Molecule: long non-coding RNA, 1155 nt
Organism: Heterocephalus glaber (naked mole-rat)
Lineage: Eukaryota; Metazoa; Chordata; Mammalia; Rodentia; Bathyergidae
Source: Ensembl
AAUUCUUUCUCUUAUGUAUGGAACCAAUAGAUUAAUUUAUUGAACAUGUACUAAAUUUCUGCUAUAUAUAAGAAGUUAGAAGAUAUAAAAGAGAAGCAGAAACUAAUCAUUCCUGUUGAGAAUUUAUAAUCUAAUAGGAGUACUCAAACUUUCACAUAAAUAAAAUACUAUGCAGAAACUUCUAAACCCCUAUGCAUGGGACCUGGAGUGGCCUUGUCCUGAGUGUAAUGUACUAAAAGCUUUAAAUGGAUAAUCAUCCCUGCUACAAUGUGGUACCUAUGUGUGCAGGUAUUUAUCCUUAACUCCAAGUCCCAGAGCUGUACAUGGAAAAUUUCAUUACAUGUGGCACAGAUAUUUAUUUAACAAAUCUCAUUGUGCCUUUACAACCUUAUGAGGAAAAUAGAGUGGUUAAUGUCUAGGUCCUAGAAAGUCUCCUGGAUUUGAAUCCUGGCUCCAUUACUUGCUGUGAAAUGAUCUUGGUGAAGUUACUGGCUGUCUGUGACUCAGUUUCCUGACAUGAAAAGUGUGGUUAAUAAUAGUGCCUAGUAACAGUACCAAACAAUAAUGUCAGUAAUCACGAGGAUGUCAUAAGGUAAUUAAUGUACCACAUUUGGAAUAGUGCCUGACAUGAUAAACACUAAAAUGUCAACUCAUUACUGUCACUACAAUGAUCCCCAUUUUACAAAGAAAUGAAGGCUUGAAGGUGUUCAUUAAGCCAUGUCUGGGUUUUAACUGUAUCACUCUAACAUCACCGGAAAAAGUGAAAAAGCAAAGCAGACCAAGAUUCGUGUCAGAGCAUUUUCUUGUAAGGGAUCAAACUCGGGACCUUGCGCGGCAGGUGCUGGAACCACUGAGCUAAACCUCCAGCCCUCCUACUUUCCUUCUUAAAGAGUCAGUUUUUUCUGUCAGAGAAGCCCCCUGGGGUGGGUAGAUGGCCUGGCUGUUGGUGCAGCCGUUUUUGCACAACUCAUGAGGCAGUUUAUAGCACAAUUUUGAAAUACCAGGGAUAGCAGGAUUACUAAUCACGCUGUCUGCUGAUGUAAACUCUAUUUAGAUAGAGUUUUAAAAAUAACCUAAAAUACAAUUACCACCAGGAAGACAGGGCUGGUUGAAUGACUACAGAAAUAUCAUUCAGAUAAUUCAUUAACUAAUUAC